RNAcentral lists this ribosomal RNA (497 nucleotides) under uncultured bacterium. RNAcentral describes it as "partial 16S ribosomal RNA". It matches the Rfam family "Bacterial small subunit ribosomal RNA", at positions 28 to 507 of the family's 1533-position model. The record is from RNAcentral.
GAUGAACGCUGGCGGCGUGCCUAAUACAUGCAAGUCGAGCGAACGGACGAGAAGCUUGUUUCUCUGAUGUUAGCGGCGGACGGGUGAGUAACACGUGGAUAACCUACCUAUAAGACUGGGAUAACUUCGGGAAACCGGAGCUAAUACCGGAUAAUAUCUUGAACCACAUGAUUCAAAAGUGAAAGACGGUAUUGCUGUCACUUAUAGAUGGAUCCGGGCUGCAUUAGCUAGUUGGGAAGGUAACGGCUUACCAAGGCAACGAUGCAUAGCCGACCUGAGAGGGUGAUCGGCCACACUGGAACUGAGACACGGUCCAGACUCCUACGGGAGGCAGCAGUAGGGAAUCUUCCGCAAUGGGCGAAAGCCUGACGGAGCAACGCCGCGUGAGUGAUGAAGGCCUUCGGAUCGUAAAACUCUGUUAUUAGGGAAGAACAUAUGUGUAAGUAACUGUGCACAUCUUGACGGUACCUAAUCAGAAAGCCACGGCUAACUACGUG